This 179-nucleotide non-coding RNA is filed under the name Clostridium tyrobutyricum. Its description in RNAcentral is "6S RNA". It matches the Rfam family "6S / SsrS RNA". Rfam says of the family: E. coli 6S RNA was the first non coding RNA to be sequenced, but its function was unknown until recently. It consists of 184 nucleotides that fold into an extended hairpin structure with a large single-stranded internal bulge. The 6S RNA specifically associates with RNA polymerase holoenzyme containing the sigma70 specificity factor. The record is from RNAcentral. Lineage: Bacteria; Bacillati; Bacillota; Clostridia; Eubacteriales; Clostridiaceae.
UAAAUCCUGCUGUGUGCGCAGAUUGAGUUCAUAUUGACCGAACAUAUUGAAAAAGGGAACCUAUCUCUUUUUGUGAAAUGAGAUCCAAUUAUAUAUUGGAAACAGGAAGCAGAAAGGCGGUGCCCACCUGCUUGAGAGCGGGUUCAAAUAACUCAAUCCUACGGCAUGGUGGGUUUUAU